Molecule: long non-coding RNA, 799 nt
Organism: Sinocyclocheilus grahami
Lineage: Eukaryota; Metazoa; Chordata; Actinopteri; Cypriniformes; Cyprinidae
Exons: 3
Source: RefSeq, a predicted model, not a curated record
UAAUCAAGGUUAAUCAUUUGUAAUGCAAUUCCUUUCUGUUUAGCGGGUGGGGUUGGAUUGCUGUGGCUUGUGUAUUUGAAGUGUUUCAAGAAACGCUCAGACCAUGAAAAGGUUGAAAAAAAGGAUGAGGAUGGAUUCUAACUCCCUCACAUACCUGGUCUUCAUGAAGUUGUCCUGCAUGAAAUCCAAGUGAAGAAUCCUGCAAAUAUAUAUACGCACUUCCCAGAACCCGGCAAGAGGCGGACUGAUUUCCCGCAACAAAUUCCUCCAGUCAGAACCAAUGUUGCUUUAAAAACACGAGCUUAAUUUAGAAAAACUCCUUUCUAGCAGUCUCUAACUUUUUUCCCAUUCUGUACUCUAAAACAGAUCUGUCAUCGUCACAUAAGUAAGGUUGAUUUCACGUUUAUAAAGUGUAUGCUUGUCAUUUCUUAAUUUUUAACACUGUUAAUACAGUGAUCACUCUUCCUGAGAACAUCUAAGGAUUCAUGACAAAAAAAGUGCACUGACUGUCCCUUAGCUUACCGAUUUAGUCGAGGGCUGCGUUUAGCAUGAAUAUUUAUGUAGAAAGUCAAUCAAAUUUAAAAGAGAUGAAUGUCUGAAUUUGUAACUAUUUCAUAGUAUUUGGGAAUCCACAUUGUUCAAACAAAACCAAAUGUUGUACAAUGCUCAAGGCUUUGUUUUCAUUUUGCCUGUUGUUACUUUUCAUUUGGAUAAAACGUGUAUAUUACCCUUCCAGUAGAUACACUGCAGAAUGUAAUUUUCAGCGCAGAUUUUAAACUGAAAGUUCUGCGAAAUCCUG